Small nucleolar RNA from Chlorocebus sabaeus (green monkey), 88 nucleotides. RefSeq annotates it as small nucleolar RNA SNORD116. NCBI's taxonomy places the organism in Eukaryota, Metazoa, Chordata, Mammalia, Primates, Cercopithecidae. The record is from RefSeq and is a predicted model, not a curated record.
GGAUCGAAGCGAUGACUUCAUACAUUCCUUGGAAGCUGAACAAAUGAGUGAAAAACUCUACACCGCUAUCCUCGCCGAACUGAGGUCC